AGUAUUAUAGUUUAAAAAAAAUUUUAAAUUGCAAAUUUAAAGAAAGAGAUAUCUUAAUACUU
RNAcentral lists this transfer RNA (62 nucleotides) under Liopterus haemorrhoidalis. Its description in RNAcentral is "tRNA-Cys". The record is from RNAcentral. Lineage: Eukaryota; Metazoa; Arthropoda; Insecta; Coleoptera; Dytiscidae.